Molecule: transfer RNA, 71 nt
Filed under: Tinamus guttatus (white-throated tinamou)
Lineage: Eukaryota; Metazoa; Chordata; Aves; Tinamiformes; Tinamidae
Rfam family: tRNA
About the family: Transfer RNA (tRNA) molecules are approximately 80 nucleotides in length. Their secondary structure includes four short double-helical elements and three loops (D, anti-codon, and T loops). Further hydrogen bonds mediate the characteristic L-shaped molecular structure. tRNAs have two regions of fundamental functional importance: the anti-codon, which is responsible for specific mRNA codon recognition, and the 3' end, to which the tRNAs corresponding amino acid is attached (by aminoacyl-tRNA synthetases). tRNAs cope with the degeneracy of the genetic code in two manners: having more than one tRNA (with a specific anti-codon) for a particular amino acid; and 'wobble' base-pairing, i.e. permitting non-standard base-pairing at the 3rd anti-codon position.
Source: Rfam by way of RNAcentral
GCACCGCUGGUGUAGUGGUACCAUGCAAGAUUCCCAUUCUUGAGACCCGGGCUCAAUUCCUGGGCGGCACA